GCCAGGCGUGGUGGCUCACGCCUGUAAUCCCAGCACUUUGGGAGGCUGAGGCAGGUGAAUCACUUGAGGCCAGGAGUUACCAGCCUGGCCAACAUGGUGAAACCCUGUCUCUA
This 113-nucleotide non-coding RNA is filed under the name Homo sapiens (human). Lineage: Eukaryota; Metazoa; Chordata; Mammalia; Primates; Hominidae. The record is from Rfam by way of RNAcentral.